Molecule: ribosomal RNA, 211 nt
Filed under: Arthrinium sp.
Lineage: Eukaryota; Fungi; Ascomycota; Sordariomycetes; Amphisphaeriales; Apiosporaceae
Description: partial large subunit ribosomal RNA
Source: RNAcentral
AAGGAUUUAUGACCAGACUUUUUCUAGGGGGAUCAUCCGGUGUUCUCACCGGUGCACUUCCCCUAGUUGAGGCCAGCAUCGGUUUCUGUCGGGGGAUAAAAGCUUCAGGAAUGUGGCUCCCUCCGGGGAGUGUUAUAGCCUGUUGCAUAAUACCCUGACGGGGACCGAGGUUCGCGCAUUGCAAGGAUGCUGGCGUAAUGGUUAUUAAUCA